Molecule: ribosomal RNA, 421 nt
Filed under: uncultured eukaryote
Lineage: Eukaryota
Description: SSU rRNA
Rfam family: Eukaryotic small subunit ribosomal RNA
Source: RNAcentral
CAAUAGCGUAUAUUAAAGUUGUUGCGGUUAAAAGCUCGUAGUUGGAUUUCUGCCGUAGACGAUCGGUCCGCUCUUUGAGCGUGUAUCUGAUUCGGCUAUGGCAUCCUCGUGAGUUGCGUUGCUGUGCUUGAUUGCAUGGUGCGAAGUUCACGACUUUUACUUUGAGGAAAUUAGAGUGUUCACGGCAGGCAAUUGCCCUGAAUAUAUUAGCAUGGAAUAAUAAUAUAGGAUCACGACCCUAUUUUGUUGGUUUCUAGAGUUGUGAUAAUGAUUAAUAGGGACAAUUGGGGGCAUUUGUAUUAACACGUCAGAGGUGGAAUUCUUGGAUUGUGUUACGACAAACUACUGCGAAAGCAUUUGCCAAGGAUGUUUUCAUUGAUCAAGAACGAAAGUAAGGGGAUCGAAGACGAUCAGAUACCAU